GGGGCUGUGGCUCAGUGGUAGAGCAUCUGCUUGGUACGUGAAAGGUCCCAGGUUCAAACACUGACACCUCCA
Molecule: transfer RNA, 72 nt
Filed under: Sphaerodactylus townsendi
Lineage: Eukaryota; Metazoa; Chordata; Lepidosauria; Squamata; Sphaerodactylidae
Description: tRNA-Thr
Rfam family: tRNA
About the family: Transfer RNA (tRNA) molecules are approximately 80 nucleotides in length. Their secondary structure includes four short double-helical elements and three loops (D, anti-codon, and T loops).
Source: RNAcentral